Drosophila montana is the source of this 265-nucleotide long non-coding RNA. RefSeq lists it as uncharacterized. The transcript has 2 exons. Lineage: Eukaryota; Metazoa; Arthropoda; Insecta; Diptera; Drosophilidae. The record is from RefSeq and is a predicted model, not a curated record.
GCCAAAAACUGUGCGCUGGAGUAUGUGUGCGAGUGAAAUGGCAUAUAUGGCCGUUAUAAAUCGCCGGUCGUGCAAUGCAAAUGAGUGAGUGAGAGCAGGCGAUGACUCAACAAUCUCAAGUCUCCUUGCCUGAUUCUACGACCGGUCGAGUAACCGACGACGAGGAUGGUCAAUCAUAAAUUAAAAAUAGAUUUUAAAAUUUUAAUAUGUACAUACACAUGUAUAUGUACGAACACAUUAUAUAUUUAUCUUUAUCUGCCGUAAA